AACGAACGCUGGCGGCGUGCUUAACACAUGCAAGUCGAACGCGAAAGUUUUCUUCGGAAAACGAGUAGAGUGGCGCACGGGUGAGUAACGCGUAGAUAAUCUACCCCUAUGUUUGGGAUAACACACCGAAAGGUGUGCUAAUACCGGAUACACUUUGAUUCUGUAGGGUUUUAAAGGAAAGGUGGCCUCUAUUUAUAAGCUACCGCAUAAGGACGAGUCUGCGUACCAUUAGCUAGUUGGUGGGGUAAUGGCCUACCAAGGCUGCGAUGGUUAGCGGGUCUGAGAGGAUGAUCCGUCACACUGGCACUGGAACACGGGCCAG
RNAcentral lists this ribosomal RNA (322 nucleotides) under uncultured bacterium. Its description in RNAcentral is "bacterial SSU rRNA". It matches the Rfam family "Bacterial small subunit ribosomal RNA", at positions 29 to 334 of the family's 1533-position model. The record is from RNAcentral.